Molecule: ribosomal RNA, 482 nt
Filed under: uncultured bacterium
Lineage: Bacteria
Description: partial 16S ribosomal RNA
Rfam family: Bacterial small subunit ribosomal RNA
Source: RNAcentral
AAUGAACGUUGGCGGCGUGGAUUAGGCAUGCAAGUCGUGCGAGAAUCGUAGCAAUACGAGGAAAGCGGCGAAAGGGAGAGUAAUGCAUGGAUAUCUGCCCUCGGGUCUGGGAUAGCUACGGGAAACUGUAGGUAAUACCAGAUGACAUCUCCGGAUCAAAGGUGUGAUUCCGCCCGAGGAGGAGUCCAUGUCCUAUUAGCUAGUUGGUGAGGUAACGGCCCACCAAGGCUGAGAUGGGUAUGGGGUGUGAGAGCACGACCCCACUCACUGGGGCUGGGAUACUGCCCAGACACCUGCGGGUGGCUGCGGUCGAGAAUCUUCGGCAAUGGGCGCAAGCCUGACCGAGCGACGCCGCGUGCGGGAUGAAGGCCUUCGGGUUGUAAACCGCUGUCAGUGUGGAGGAAAUUCCUAGGGGUAAUCUCCUAGGAUUGACCUAUACGCAGAGGAAGGAUGGGCUAAGUUCGUGCCAGCCGCCGCCGUAA